RNAcentral lists this long non-coding RNA (2727 nucleotides) under Equus asinus (donkey). Its description in RNAcentral is "lncRNA (ENSEASG00005025479.1)". The record is from RNAcentral. Lineage: Eukaryota; Metazoa; Chordata; Mammalia; Perissodactyla; Equidae.
AAGAGAAGCCCACUCCCUAAAUUAAGAUGAUUUUGGUCCUGUGGGUCGUGGUCCAGCACAACUGCUCUGUAAAAUUAAGUAAAAAUUAAAAAUGUUUCAGGGAAAGAGGGGAUUUGGCAGAGAGAAGAGAGAGGGAGCAGCGGGGUGAGACACUGUUUGGGUGGAGGGGGCUAGAUUUGAGAACCCUUAGGGGCUGAACAGCCUAAGAGGGAUUUGGGGGAAAAAAGUACUACUAAAGAUUUUCAAGUUGUUUGCUGUGGGUCCAUGGGUGAGCCAUGCCUUUGUCUCCCUCUUUGUCAUGUUUUCUAAUCAUUGGUACAGGCUACUCUGCUCUCUCAUGCUUCUUGGUGAGAGUGGAUUCUUUUGAGGAGAUAUUGGGGGUGGGGCUGCUGCUGAGUAUAUUUCUGGUUCCUACAGGUAAAAACACAUUAAGUAUCAGGGGAAGCUGUAGGUGAGGGCAGAGUAGAUCUUGGGGGUGUAAAUUCCUGGGCAAAGCAGACUUUCAAAGAUGAUGUGGGGUCCAAAGGGAGAUCAUCAAGCAGUAAACGGUCUUAGGUAAUAGCUGGGUAACAGGUAGAAUAAAUAGAAAAUUUCACCAAGGUAAAUAUAUGGUAUGGUGAACGGGUGGAGUUGAAAGGUAGGUUGCAGGUAUCUAAGGGGCCCUGGAGGUAUGGACAGAUCUGCUGGGCUGGAUGGUGGGGAAAGGGUUGUGGGUUCAUCUCUCUUGUGUUGUCCCCUCCCCUCCCCUCAAGAACCUUUGGUGUCUGUGCUAAAGCUCUGUGAUGUGGGCCUGGAACUCUAGUCUAGAAUGUGCACUCUUAAUGCCCAGCUGCCUGAGGCAGCAAUGCAUUUCCCAUGACCUGGACCACCUUCCCUGUCUGAGGAGCCUUACUGCACCAUGGCUGAGCUCCAGCUCAUCUUCCUAGGUAUUCCCAUCCUUGCCUUCAUGGGUGGGAUGGUGCUCAUUCUUCUGUCAUUGUGCUACCUAAAGAGAAAUCCAUGUUUCCCAAUAUUUUGGAAACAGAGGUGUCAAUCAGCAUAAGGGCAGAGCCAAGAGAAGAAGGAAAGGUGGAACAUCGAGAGAAGGGCAUGACCUGAACGACAGGCAAGCUGUCCUGCCUGGCAAAAUCCAAGUCUGCCUUUUUUAGACCUGCCUUUGAAUAAGGAGCUGAUUCCUCUUGGAUGAAAUCACGCGAGCAGAAAUGACUGAAAGAUCUGGAGAAAUCUCCAGAGACGAAGCCAAGGAGGGAAGGAAGCCAAGGACCCGGGCCAUCCACAAAUUAGAUCAUUAGCUCCAGGAUAACUGAGAAUAACUGACUGUGUGACUAUGGCCAGAAAGUCCAGAAAGAGAUGAAAAGGCAAAGGAAAUGACAUGUGAGUAACAGUAUUUACAGGGCCUGUCACUGUCAUUCUCUCAACAAACAUCAUUGAGCACCUACUGUAUGCCAGGUACUUUCAACAAAGAGGAUGGCUACAGCAAUGAACAACCCAGGCAAGACUGCUACUCUCAUGUAGAUGACCUUCCUGAACAGUGCAGACAAACAACAAACAAGAACACAAACACAUAAACAAGAUAACUUCAGGUAGCACUAAGCUCUGUGAAGUCCAUAAACACAGGAAUGUGAUAGAGCCCUGGGGAGAGGAUGCUGCUGUAGAUAAGGUCGCCCAGAAAGGCAUCUCAGAGUAUCUGAGCUGCAACCUGCAAGAGGAGCCCACCCUGUGGAGGUCUGCUAACCAGAGAAUGGAAUGAGUGAAUGCACCAAGUAUGCUAGAGGGAGGGGGCUCCAGGCCAGCCACAGGGGGUCCAGGCCAGGCACAGUUCUGUGGCUAUUCACAUUGUGUUCUUUAGAGAUAUUGCUAAAACCUCUCUAGGACCACUGAAUUACUGCCUCUACAAUGGGGGUUGCUCAUACUGAUCACUGUGACAGGUACUGUGAGGAAUAAUGGGUUGUCAUGAGGAGCUACAUAAAUGCUGACUAAUGAUCACAAGAACCUUUCAUUCAAGUCAGCACCGUGAUAGGCAGAUCACACUUAGAUGCCUCAGCAAGUGUGGAAAUUAACAUGACUGCUCACUGUGCACACCAGCACCAUCCUUUGAAACAGAAAAAAUAAAUGAGCCGAUGGUCCUGAUAUUCAAAGUGGUUAGUGAUCAACUAACUGGAGAGAAAGCUGGUGUGUGAAGUGUAAAAUGGGAGCAGGAAGAUAAUGGCACAUCACAGCCCAGCACAGGCAGAGGGUAACUAGUGAAUCAACUGGAUGCUUGCUGCUGCACGUGUCCUCUGCUACAGAGUGGUCAUUCUAACCUCAUCAGGAAGAGGUGCUGUCAAGAAAAGCCUGGCAGAGGGGAAGUGGGGUGAGAAGGAGCCAGAUCAGCAGCAUCUCUGGCAGCAGCCCCUUCUGGCCCACUUGGCCUUGGUAAGCCUCCCUGGGGGAAGGACUGAGCAGUCCCACCUCACAAGGGCACCAAGGAAGUGGGGAGGGAGAAAGGGGGGAUGAGCAUUGCAUUGUCUCCUUUCUGGCAUGAAACAUCCCAAUGCCAUCAGAGACUUCAGUUGUCUUCACAGCUGAGCCUCCCAACACAGAGAUAUGAAUCCAACCCAUAAUUUCAGAGGAGUGUUUUUCAAACUGCAGGUCCUGACCCAUGACUGGAUUGUGACAAGCACUUAAUAAACAAUGAAAUAAAAUGGAAUAAAUAAUAUUAGAGUACAUCACAUGUAAUAAAGGGAA